CGCCCGUCACACCAUGGGAGCUGGUAAUACCCAAAGUCGGUUUGCUAACCUCGGAGGCGACCGCCUAAGGUAGGACUGGUGACUGGGGUGAAGUCGUAACAAGGUAUCCCUACGAGAACGUGGGGAUGGAUCACCUCCUUUCUACGGAGUACAACCUACGUUAUGGAAAAAAAUAUUUGUAUCCAGUUUUGAGAGAUUUAUCUCUCGGUUCUUUGAAAACUGAAUAUCGACAUUGAUAUAUUAAUUAAUAUUUCAAAGUUUAGAUCAACCAUAGAAUAUUUAUAUUUUAUAAAGACAAACAAUAGGUCAUACAAUUAACAAAACUAUUAAACAAGCAAGAGUUUUUGGUGGAUGCCUUGGGUCUGGAAGUCGAUGAAGGACGUGAUUACCUGCGAUAAGCCUCGGUUAGCUGGAAAUAAGCUGUUAUCCGGGGAUUUCCGAAUGGGGAAACCUAAUUGAGCUAAUCCUCAAUUAUCAUAUCGAUGAAUUCAUAGUCGAAUGAAGAGACACGCUGUGAAUUGAAACAUCUCAGUAGCAGCAGGAAGAGAAAAUAAAGAAUGAUUCCCUAAGUAGUGGCGAGCGAACGGGGAAGAGCCCAAACCAACACAUGUUGUUGGGGUUGUAGGACUGCGACAUGGAUUAAUGAAUUUGUACAUAGCAGAAUAAGUUGGAACGCUUAAACAUAGAGGGUGAAAUUCCCGUAAGCGAAAUGUAUAAAUCUCCUAGCAGUAUCCUGAGUAGGGCGGGGCACGUGAAACCCUGUCUGAAUUUGCCGGGACCACCCGGUAAGGCUAAAUACUAACCAGACACCGAUAGUGAACUA
This 823-nucleotide small RNA is filed under the name Metamycoplasma hominis. Its description in RNAcentral is "bacterial LSU rRNA". The stretch from base 325 to 823 matches the Rfam family "Bacterial large subunit ribosomal RNA", at positions 1 to 497 of the family's 2925-position model. Lineage: Bacteria; Bacillati; Mycoplasmatota; Mycoplasmoidales; Metamycoplasmataceae. The record is from RNAcentral.